Panicum virgatum (switchgrass) is the source of this 2130-nucleotide long non-coding RNA. RefSeq lists it as uncharacterized. The transcript is spliced from 6 exons. Lineage: Eukaryota; Viridiplantae; Streptophyta; Magnoliopsida; Poales; Poaceae. The record is from RefSeq and is a predicted model, not a curated record.
CUCCUCCCACCGCCUUUCCAUCCGACGUCGGCAAGCUGGUUGCGGCGGGCCCGCUUUUGCUGGCCUACAGCGGCGAAUCGGCCACCCGAUCUGGGCGUCGAUGAUGCCGCUGCCUCUGCUCCCCUCUUCCUGGUGCAGGGCGAAGACGCAAUGGUGGUGGCGAACGUGCGGUUUAUGGGACUCGCGGCGGUGCCCUUCUCCGUGGCCUCGCCCUCCUGCGCGGACGCAUCCUCUGCUCUGCGCCACCCGGACAGCCAGUUCUGCAGCUCGUCAGCGCGCUCUAACGCGUGCUCAGCAACUUCCGUGUACGCCUCCCGACCUCCACGACGCGCUCCACGGCUUCGCAGGGCGUGACGGAGCCUCUGCUCGCAUCCUCAUUCGACGUCGUGCUCUGGGGCAAGGGGCUCCCGGAGUCCGUGCUCGCCGCCGCUGGUAAGACAGUCCUCCAUGUCUAUCCCAGUCUGUUCUACGGCUCCCUCUAUUCCUCCAUCCUGCUCUCCUCCUUCCUGUCCUUCCUCUCCCUGACCCUUCUCCGUCUUCAUUGACCGCGGUGGCGGCGGCGGCGGUCGGCUCCUAUUCGUACACCGUCGUCGAUCUACACCGCCGCGGCGUGUACUCGGAUUUCGCGACCUUGCCGACCAGCCCCUUAUGCUGCCCCCUUGGACUCUGAUCAGCAUCCCAUUCACGGAUAGGAAUUUGGAAGGGGAAGAGAGGAUAGAUAUAUGUCCAUUUAACUUCACAGUGCUCAGUGAAAUUAUUAUGGAGUGACUAAGACUACAAUACAAGCAAGCUCACCAAUGACCAAACUGCGAAGGCAUUCUAAUUAAUCUGAGCAAGAUCUCACUGUUGGAUCUGCGGAAAAAAAACACAGUUUCUCCUCUAAUAAAGGGUGUGCCUGGACAAGUCAACAAGAAUAACCAAGCAGCUUAAGGUAUUCUAAGAGGUAAGGGUCAUCUUGGCCUGUCCCUUUCCUUUAGGAGGUCCCUGUACUACUGCACUAAACAAAGAUUGGAUAUGGUUGCCCUUUUCAAUUUAGAAAUCAAUGUACGGUUCGUUCUUCACUGGAUUCAUACAACUGCAUCGGCCCAUGCUUGAAGAUCUAACUUCAUUUGAUUGCUGUGCAUUUUCUCUGUUAGUACUCCACCUCUAUUAUGCUUCCUCAUAUACUCUUGUGUCUCUAUUGAUCUAAUGAAAGGCUGCAGAUUCAUGUAUUGGUUGAUUCGCCUUUCAUGGGAAAGUUUAACUUUUGGUAUAUAUUGCCAUGUCUAAACUUUAUUGGUCUGUUUUUUUUAUUAUGCAUGUUCUGCCAUGUAAAAGCAAAUUUGAUUUGUUUACAGCUUUACUGCGAUUGGACUAUGAGGCUUCUUAUGGUUGGCUGGCUUUUGUUCUGCAUAUUGAUAGCAUCAUAUUUACAUGACUAGCUAUUGAGAAUAACUCUUGCAGGCCAUUGAAAUCAGAUUUCCUUAUCAGUUUGAUGGGGUGUCAUCGGGUCCAGAUGAUUUAGUAAUUGUCAUAGCGAUUUGCUCCUGCUGCAUCCACAUUUAAUAGCGCGCUCUAUAUAACUGAUCAGCAGAAAGGUAUGAUCCAAGGGAAGGUUUCUGGGCGCUGCUUCCAAGUAUGAGCGUGAGAAGAGGAUCCCACUGACCCACUCGGUAGCUGUCUUGGGGGAUGCCCCGUAUGAUGUGGGAGGGUAUGAUGGAAGCAACAUGAUAUCUAACGUAGAGAUUUUUGACCUGUGCACUAAUUCAUGGAGAAUAUGCAGCCCAUUACAGGUUACAAUGGACGAUAAUUUGUUCUACAUUGGCGGGCACAGAUACAUCCAGCCAGCGACUGCAUUUCAACCGUCCCUGAUCCAAGUAUGAACACAGGGAAAACUAUUCUCAUGCCGGCAUUUUCCAAACUACUUAAUGCAGCUAUGUAACAUGGCCAGUUCCACCUAAAUACAAUGUCUGUUAAGUUAGUGAACCCUCCUAUUCUCCUACAGCUCCUUAGCUAUCCCAAUUGGAGAUUUAAAUUGUAAUAUAACAACUGCUCCUGUCAAAUACUUCUAUAUGUAUCAUCUGCAGUAGUUUAUCCAUAAACUAUUUAUCACUCUGUUGCUCUUUAGUACAAAUAUAUGUAUUUCCUUUA